GAUGAAGAACGUAGCGAAAUGCGAUAAGUAGUGUGAAUUGCAGAAUUCAGUGAAUCAUCGAAUCUUUGAACGCACAUUGCGCCCUUUGGUAUUCCAAAGGGCAUGCCUGUUCGAGCGUCAUUUGUACCCUCAAGCUUUGCUUGGGGUUGGGCGUCUUGUCUCUAGCUUUGCUGGAGACUCGCCUUAAAGUAAUUGGCAGCCGGCCUACUGGUUUCGGAGCGCAGCACAAGUCGCACUCUCUAUCAGCAAAGGUCUAGCAUCCACUAAGCCUUUUUUUCAACUUUUGACCUCGGAUCAGGUAGGGAUACCCGCUGAACUUAAGCAUAUCAAUAAGCGGAGGA
This 341-nucleotide unclassified non-coding RNA is filed under the name soil metagenome. RNAcentral's name for it is "partial contains 5.8S ribosomal RNA, internal transcribed spacer 2, and large subunit ribosomal RNA". The stretch from base 1 to 120 matches the Rfam family "5.8S ribosomal RNA", at positions 35 to 154 of the family's 154-position model. The record is from RNAcentral.